UACGGAGGGGGCUAGCGUUGUUCGGAAUUACUGGGCGUAAAGCGCGCGUAGGCGGACCUGCAAGUCGGGGGUGAAAGCCCGAGGGCUCAACCCUCGGAACUGCCUUCGAAUACUGCGGGUCUCGAGUCCGGGAGAGGUGAGUGGAAUUCCUAGUGUAGAGGUGAAAAUUCGUAGAUAUUAGGAAGAACACCAGUGGCGAAGGACGGCUGCUCUG
RNAcentral lists this ribosomal RNA (214 nucleotides) under uncultured bacterium. RNAcentral describes it as "partial 16S ribosomal RNA". It matches the Rfam family "Bacterial small subunit ribosomal RNA", at positions 524 to 731 of the family's 1533-position model. The record is from RNAcentral.